CCCAUUUCCCCAACCCCGUUAAAAUUUUAGACAGAAAUCCCUAACCCCUUCCCUUCCCUCCUCCCUUUUUUUCCCCAAAUCGAAAACUCACCUACAGUCCCCACCGAUCCACCAUCCCACCUCCGGUCUCCGGUCCUCCAGCACUCCACCUCCACUCCACAACACUAGGUGGCAUUGUUGUUCUCUUCACUUCGAUUCUUCUGCAACUUCCGAGUCCGACCCAAACCCUUCAAAUCAACAAGUUCAAGCCUUC
This 253-nucleotide long non-coding RNA is filed under the name Gossypium raimondii (Peruvian cotton). Its description in RNAcentral is "long non-coding RNA (GRAI_LNC006087)". Lineage: Eukaryota; Viridiplantae; Streptophyta; Magnoliopsida; Malvales; Malvaceae. The record is from RNAcentral.